AGAGUUUGAUCCUGGCUCAGGGUGAACGCUGGCGGCGUGCUUAACACAUGCAAGUCGAACGAUCCUUCGGGAUAGUGGCGGACGGGUGAGUAACGCGUGGGAAUCUGCCCUCAGGAGGGGGAUAACGGCUGGAAACGGCCGCUAAUACCCCAUAUGCCGAGAGGUGAAAUGAAUUUCGCCUGAGGAUGAGCCCGAGUCUGAUUAGCUAGUUGGUGGGGUAAAAGCCUACCAAGGCAACGAUCAGUAGCUGGUCUGAGAGGAUGAUCAGCCACACUGGGACUGAGACGCGGCCCAGACUCCUACGGGAGGCAGCAGUGGGGAAUUUUCCGCAAUGGGCGAAAGCCCGACGGAGCAACGCCGCGUGAGGGAUGAAGGCCUCUGGGCUGUAAACCUCUUUUCUCAAGGAAGAAGACCUGACGGUACUUGAGGAAUAAGCCACGGCUAAUUCCGUGCCAGCAGCCGCGGUAAUACGGGAGUGGCAAGCGUUAUCCGGAAUUAUUGGGCGUAAAGCGUCCGCAGGCGGCCUUGUAAGUCUGUUGUUAAAGCGUGGAGCUCAACUCCAUUUAAGCAAUGGAAACUACAAGGCUGGAGUGUGGUAGGGGCAGAGGGAAUUCCCGGUGUAGCGGUGAAAUGCGUAGAUAUCGGGAAGAACACCAGUGGCGAAGGCGCUCUGCUGGGCCAUAACUGACGCUCAUGGACGAAAGCCAGGGGAGCGAAAGGGAUUAGAUACCCCUGUAGUCCUGGCCGUAAACGAUGAACACUAGGUGUCGGGGGAAUCGACCCCCUCGGUGUCGUAGCCAACGCGUUAAGUGUUCCGCCUGGGGAGUACGCACGCAAGUGUGAAACUCAAAGGAAUUGACGGGGGCCCGCACAAGCGGUGGAGUAUGUGGUUUAAUUCGAUGCAACGCGAAGAACCUUACCAGGGUUUGACAUCCUGCGAACCCCUGAGAAAUCGGGGGGUGCCUUCGGGAGCGCAGAGACAGGUGGUGCAUGGCUGUCGUCAGCUCGUGUCGUGAGAUGUUGGGUUAAGUCCCGCAACGAGCGCAACCCACGUCUUUAGUUGCCAGCAUUCAGUUGGGCACUCUAGAGAGACCGCCGGUGAUAAACCGGAGGAAGGUGUGGAUGACGUCAAGUCAUCAUGCCCCUUACAUCCUGGGCUACACACGUACUACAAUGCUACGGACAAAGGGCAGCAAGCUCGCGAGAGUUAGCAAAUCCCAUAAACCGUGGCUCAGUUCAGAUCGUAGGCUGCAACUCGCCUACGUGAAGGAGGAAUCGCUAGUAAUCGCAGGUCAGCAUACUGCGGUGAAUACGUUCCCGGGCCUUGUACACACCGCCCGUCACACCAUGGAAGUUGGCCAUGCCCGAAGUCGUUACUCCAACCCUUGUGGAGGAGGACGCCGAAGGUGGGGCUGAUGACUGG
This 1423-nucleotide ribosomal RNA is filed under the name metagenome. Its description in RNAcentral is "bacterial SSU rRNA". It matches the Rfam family "Bacterial small subunit ribosomal RNA". The record is from RNAcentral.